This 253-nucleotide ribosomal RNA is filed under the name uncultured bacterium. RNAcentral's name for it is "partial 16S ribosomal RNA". It matches the Rfam family "Bacterial small subunit ribosomal RNA", at positions 524 to 776 of the family's 1533-position model. The record is from RNAcentral.
UACGUAGGGGCCUAGCGUUGUCCGGAAUUACUGGGCGUAAAGGGCUCGUAGGUGGCCAACUAAGUCGGACGUGAAAUCCCUCAGCUUAACUGGGGAACUGCGUCCGAUACUGGAUGGCUUGAGUUUGGGAGAGGGAUGCGGAAUUCCAGGUGUAGCGGUGAAAUGCGUAGAUAUCUGGAGGAACACCGGUGGCGAAGGCGGCAUCCUGGACCAACACUGACACUGAGGAGCGAAAGCCAGGGGAGCAAACGGG